AGAUUGAACGCUGGCGGCAUGCCUAACACAUGCAAGUCGAACGGGAGUAGCAAUACUCUAGUGGCGGACGGGUGAGGAAUACGUAGGAAUUUGCCCUUAAGUGGGGAUAACCCGGGGAAACCCGGAUUAAUACCGCAUGACCUCGAAAGAGCAAAGUGGGGGAUCGCAAGACCUCACGCUUUUGGAGAAGCCUACGUCGGAUUAGCUAGUUGGUGAGGUAAUGGCUCACCAAGGCGACGAUCCGUAACUGGUCUGAGAGGAUGAUCAGUCACACCGGAACUGAGACACGGUCCGGACUCCUACGGGA
This 307-nucleotide ribosomal RNA is filed under the name uncultured soil bacterium. Its description in RNAcentral is "bacterial SSU rRNA". It matches the Rfam family "Bacterial small subunit ribosomal RNA", at positions 26 to 346 of the family's 1533-position model. The record is from RNAcentral.